RNAcentral lists this ribosomal RNA (158 nucleotides) under uncultured bacterium. RNAcentral's name for it is "partial 16S ribosomal RNA". It matches the Rfam family "Bacterial small subunit ribosomal RNA", at positions 330 to 505 of the family's 1533-position model. The record is from RNAcentral.
CCCAGACUCCUACGGGAGGCAGCAGUGGGGAAUAUUGGACAAUGGGCGAAAGCCUGAUCCAGCAAUGCCGCGUGAGUGAUGAAGGCCUUAGGGUUGUAAAGCUCUUUUACCCGGGAUGAUAAUGACAGUACCGGGAGAAUAAGCCCCGGCUAACUCCG